GUCGGGGUAUCCAAGCCUGGUAAGCUUGUUAAUGAUUAACAAGUCCGGAAUGGAGACAGGUUGCUAACCUGUUGCGUGCAAACGCUCGCGGGUUCAAAUCCCGUCCCCGGCACCA
This 115-nucleotide transfer RNA is filed under the name Candidatus Heimdallarchaeota archaeon. RNAcentral's name for it is "tRNA-Ser". It matches the Rfam family "tRNA". From Rfam's summary of the family: Transfer RNA (tRNA) molecules are approximately 80 nucleotides in length. The record is from RNAcentral. Lineage: Archaea; Promethearchaeati; Candidatus Heimdallarchaeota.